RNAcentral lists this ribosomal RNA (927 nucleotides) under uncultured bacterium. RNAcentral describes it as "bacterial SSU rRNA". It matches the Rfam family "Bacterial small subunit ribosomal RNA", at positions 457 to 1379 of the family's 1533-position model. The record is from RNAcentral.
GACGAAGCGUGAGUGACGGUAANNGGUAAAGAAGCNCCGGCUAACUACGUGCCAGCAGCCGCGGUGAUACGUAGGGUGCGAGCGUUGUCNGGAUUUAUUGGGCGUAAAGGGCUCGUAGGUGGUUGAUCGCGUCGGAAGUGUAAUCUUGGGGCUUAACCCUGAGCGUGCUUUCGAUACGGGUUGACUUGAGGAAGGUAGGGGAGAAUGGAAUUCCUGGUGGAGCGGUGGAAUGCGCAGAUAUCAGGAGGAACACCAGUGGCGAAGGCGGUUCUCUGGGCCUUUCCUGACGCUGAGGAGCGAAAGCGUGGGGAGCGAACAGGCUUAGAUACCCUGGUAGUCCACGCUGUAAACGGUGGGUACUAGGUGUGGGGUCCAUUCCACGGGUUCCGUGCCGUAGCUAACGCUUUAAGUACCCCGCCUGGGGAGUACGGCCGCAAGGCUAAAACUCAAAGGAAUUGACGGGGCCCCGCACAAGCGGCGGAGCAUGCGGAUUAAUUCGAUGCAACGCGUAGAACCUUACCUGGGUUUGACAUGGAUCGGGAGUGCUCAGAGAUGGGUGUGCCUCUUUUGGGGUCGGUUCACAGGUGGUGCAUGGCUGUCGUCAGCUCGUGUCGUGAGAUGUUGGGUUAAGUCCCGCAACGAGCGCAACCCUUGUUCACUGUUGCCAGCACGUUAUGGUGGGGACUCAGUGGAGACCGCCGGGGUCAACUCGGAGGAAGGUGGGGAUGACGUCAAGUCAUCAUGCCCCUUAUGUCCAGGGCUUCACGCAUGCUACAAUGGCUGGUACAGAGAGUGGCGAGCCUGUGAGGGUGAGCGAAUCUCGGAAAGCCGGUCUCAGUUCGGAUUGGGGUCUGCAACUCGACCUCAUGAAGUCGGAGUCGCUAGUAAUCGCAGAUCAGCAACGCUGCGGUGAAUACGUUCCCGGGA